AGAGCAGGGGAAAAUCCACGGUGAGGGUGUGCUGGGCACUGCUAGGUGAGCUCCAAAUCCCUCACCUAGGGAGGUGCUGAGGGUUCAAACCCUUCUGUGGAGCAGCCCAGACCGUGUGCCACGCAGCAUCUGCUGGGAAAAGAAGGCCCCAAAUAUCGCUGGCCCGCUCCAUAUUUAAUUAUCUGCCACAGCAAGUCAGGGCAGGUUUAGCUCAGAGUGCAGGACACUGCACAGACAUCACGUUAUAAAUCAGCCCUCUCUGCCUGGGAUAUGUGCAGGAAGGGUUAAGCUGUAAAACAACCUGCCCUUUUCUACAUAAAUUAAAACCCUUGUUAACGCAGUAAUGUUUUGACUUCCGUUGGAAAGUGUUUAUUUUGGUAGCCUGUACAAAGUUUCAGCUAUUCUAAAACCCUGAGAUUUCACAGCCGAGCUUUCAUGUUCCCAGCAGAGAAGGAGGUGAGAUACUCAAAGAAUCUCUGUUCUUAUUUCAGCACUGCACUUGCCAGCCAAAUUUUCAAAAGAGCCCAGUUUGCUGACAUAAAUGGGGUUGCUGAUGUGCCGAAGGAGAAGGAAGCGCCGGAGAACAUGUUCCUCCCUGGGUCCAAGUCUCUCCCAUCUUAUCUUUCCCUCCCAUAUGUUUCCUCUGUAAUGAGAGGAAUUAUUUAUCAUUAAAGUGAUAUAUAAUUUAAAAAUUAAAGUUAAUGAAUGCUUAAAUUAAUUUACUGACAAAAACAAAUGUCUGUCCUUCAGAUCCUAUAAUUUUAAUUGGAGUGGGCUACGGCUUAAUUAACAUGUAUUGAUUGUAGUCCCGAGUGCAUCUAUAGGUGGGUGGACUGUGUUGGGAGAAAUCCUCCUCGGAGAUGAAGAUUUGCUGAUAACAUUCUGAAUAAUUGUCUUGUGAAGAGACAGAAGUCUUCGCUGUUUUCUCUGCAGAAAGCUUUAAACAAAAGGUGCACAAAGAAGACAGAAAUUUGGAGGAGAGUUGGAGCAAAUAAAGAAGCGGAUGCAAGCAGAAACUUUUUUGGGGAUAAAAAGAUCAGGAUGUCACCCACAAAGCUCUGUGGAAAUGGGAGAUGGCUCCAGAGGUGCAAGACACAAGUUCAGGGGCAAAUGGAAAUGAGGGAUUUAGAACAUUUUACCUUUGGGGUUUGGCUCAUCCUAGCAGAGACUGGAGCUUGAGGGAACUGGUGAAAUGUGUUCCCUCCUGCCCUGCAAUGUUGAUCCCUGGCACUGUGAGGAUUAGCAGGUGGCCAAAAGCAUCAGGAGGUGACUUCGCUCUGCCAUAAGAUCCCUCCCGGCAGGUCUGGGCUGCCCAGGGGAAGCUGGCAGCACCCUGUGGACCAGACAGUUUUAUAACAUCAAGAAGAAUGGAAAAGCUGCAAGGCAUGCACACUCAAGACGCUGUGCUCCUGGAAAGUUCUGGAUGGGCUCCAGGCAAUGUGUGGUGGCAAAGAAAGAUGAAGGUCUUGGAAAGAAGAGGAAACAAUCAGCCAAGCCCUCAUCCUUCAAUAUUCCUGUUUCUGUGAGCUGGGGAUGCCAUUGGAGCACGGGAAGGACAGAAAAAACGCGUUCCUGCAGCAUCACGUGUC
Sturnus vulgaris (Common starling) is the source of this 1589-nucleotide non-coding RNA. The record is from RefSeq and is a predicted model, not a curated record. Lineage: Eukaryota; Metazoa; Chordata; Aves; Passeriformes; Sturnidae.